AUUGAACGCUGGCGGCAGGCUUAACACAUGCAAGUCGAGCGGGGUGAUGGUGCUUGCACUAUCACUUAGCGGCGGACGGGUGAGUAAUGCUUAGGAAUCUGCCUAUUAGUGGGGGACAACAUCUCGAAAGGGAUGCUAAUACCGCAUACGUCCUACGCGAGAAAGCAGGGGAUCACUUGUGACCUUGCGCUAACAGAUGAGCGUCAGUCGGAUUAGCUAGUUGGUGGCGUAAAGGCCUACCAAGGCGACGAUCUGUAGCGGGUCUGAGAGGAUGAUCCGCCACACUGGGACUGAGACACGGCCCAGACUCCUACGGGAGGCAGCAGUGGGGAAUAUUGGACAAUGGGGGGAACCCUGAUCCAGCCAUGCCGCGUGUGUGAAGAAGGCCUUAUGGUUGUAAAGCACUUUAAGCGAGGAGGAGGCUCUUUUGGUUAAUACCCAAGAUGAGUGGACGUUACUCGCAGAAUAAGCACCGGCUAACUCUGUGCCAGCAGCCGCAGUAA
Molecule: ribosomal RNA, 503 nt
Filed under: uncultured bacterium
Lineage: Bacteria
Description: partial 16S ribosomal RNA
Rfam family: Bacterial small subunit ribosomal RNA
Source: RNAcentral